RNAcentral lists this small nuclear RNA (134 nucleotides) under Myotis davidii. RNAcentral's name for it is "U11 spliceosomal RNA". It matches the Rfam family "U11 spliceosomal RNA". Lineage: Eukaryota; Metazoa; Chordata; Mammalia; Chiroptera; Vespertilionidae. The record is from Rfam by way of RNAcentral.
AAAAAGGCCUUCUGUCGUGAGUGGCACACGUAGAGCAGCCUGAUUGCUCUACGUGUGGAAUCGACAUCGAGCGAGUUCGGAAGCAUAAUUUUUUGGUACUUGGACAGCUGGUGAUCGUUGGUCCUGGCGUCCGC